AGUGAACGCUGGCGGUAUGCCUAACACAUGCAAGUCGAACGGCAGCACAGUAAGUGCUUGCUCUUACGGGUUGCGAGUGGCGGACGGGUGAGAAAUACAUCGGAAUCUACUUUUUCGUGGGGGAGAACGAAGCGAAACUUACACUAAUACCGCAUACCACCUACGAGUGAAAGCAGGUCGUCUUCGGACCUUGCGCGAUUGCAGGAGCCGAUGUCGGAUUAGCUAGUUGUCGGGGUAAAGGCCCACCAAGGCGACGAUCCGUAGCUGGUCUGAGAGGAUGAUCAGCCACACUGGAACUGAGACACGGUCCAGACUCCUACGGGAGGCAGCAGUGGGGAAUAUUGGACAAUGGGCGCAAGCCUGAUCCAGCCAUACCGCGUGGGUGAAGAAGGCCUUCGGGUUGUAAAGCCCUUUUGUUGGGAAAGAAAAGCAGCAGGUUAAUACCCCGGUGUUAUGACGGUACCCAAAGAAUAAGCACCGGCUAACUUCGUG
Molecule: ribosomal RNA, 492 nt
Filed under: uncultured bacterium
Lineage: Bacteria
Description: partial 16S ribosomal RNA
Rfam family: Bacterial small subunit ribosomal RNA
Source: RNAcentral